This 1574-nucleotide ribosomal RNA is filed under the name Polypedates leucomystax (Java whipping frog). RNAcentral describes it as "16S rRNA". It matches the Rfam family "Bacterial large subunit ribosomal RNA", at positions 393 to 2853 of the family's 2925-position model. The record is from RNAcentral. Lineage: Eukaryota; Metazoa; Chordata; Amphibia; Anura; Rhacophoridae.
GCCCUAAAUUUAGCCCGUAAUUAUUUUAUAAAAUUUUUAUCCUUAAAUUUAUUAAAUAAAACAUUUUAACUCCUUAAGUAAAGGCGAUUGAAAAAGCUCUAAGCGCUAUAGAAAUAGUACCGCAAGGGAAAAAUGAAAUAAUAAUGAAACAAUUAAAGCUACUUACAGCAGAGAAUUUACCUCGUACCUUUUGCAUCAUGGCCUAGCAAGACUUAAUAAGCAAAAUGAAAUUUAAGUUUUAAACCCCGAACCUAGGCGAGCUACUUUAAAACAGCCUAUUGGGCUAACCCGUCUCUGUGGCAAUAGAGUGGGGUGAUUUUUAAGUAGAAGUGAAAAGCCUACCGAGCCUAGAAAUAGCUGGUUAUUCAUGAAAAGAAUAUAAGUUCUGCCUUAAGCUUCCCACGAUGAACCUCAACAACAUUCAACGCUUAAGAGUUAUUUAAAUAAGGAACAGCUUAUUUAAGCCAGGACACAACCUAAGCAGCAGGGUAAAAUCUUAACACUACCAAGUGGGCCUGAAAGCAGCCACCUUUUGAAACGCGUCAAAGCGUAACUUUAACACCCAAAAUACCAUUAAUUUUUAUGAACCCCUAAUUUAUAAUGAAUGACUCCAUAUUUAUAUGGAAGACACCAUGCUAGGAUUAGUAACAAGAAUUUAUAAUUCUCCAAAAUGCAAAUAUAAACCAACAUGGAUAGACCAUUGGUAGUUACCGAACCUAAAUUUAAUGCAAUAACAUCCACAAGAAAACUCUGCAGCACUCACUCGUUAACCUAACACCAGCGCAUUACAGGAAAGAUUCAAAAAAAGAGAAGGAAUUCGGCAAAUGACGGCCCCGCCUGUUUACCAAAAACAUCGCCUCUUGACUUAUAAUAAGAGGUCUAGCCUGCCCAGUGAAUUUUAAACGGCCGCGGUAUCCUAACCGCGCGAAGGUAGCAUAAUCACUUGUUCUUUAAAUGGGGACUCGUAUCAACGGCAUCACGAGGGUUUUACUGUCUCCUCUUUUUGAUCAGUGAAAUUGAUCUUCCCGUGAAGAAGCGGGAAUAUUUUUAUAAGACGAGAAGACCCCAUGGAGCUUUAAACCAAAUAACAACUUAACCACUUAUCCCAUAAUAAAUUUAACCCCUGUUAUAAGGUUUUUGGUUGGGGUGACCGCGGAGUAAAGCACAUCCUCCACGACGGAAAGAAUAAAAUCUUUAUUUAAGAACCACACUUCUAGAAAUUAGUAUACUAACGUUUACUGACCCGACAAUCGAUCAACGGACCAAGUUACCCUGGGGAUAACAGCGCAAUCUACUUCGAGAGCUCAUAUCGACAAGUAGGCUUACGACCUCGAUGUUGGAUCAGGGUAUCCCGGUGGUGCAGCCGCUACCGAAGGUUCGUUUGUUCAACGAUUAAAACCCUACGUGAUCUGAGUUCAGACCGGAGCAAUCCAGGUCGGUUUCUAUCUAUAAAGAGUUACUUCUAGUACGAAAGGACCGAAGUAACGUGGCCAAUACACCUCCAAGCCAUAAAUUUUACUAAUGAUAACAACUUAAUUAGCAAGUAUCUACUUAAUUAUUAAAGUCAAUAAUUU